Long non-coding RNA from Hippocampus comes (tiger tail seahorse), 712 nucleotides. RefSeq lists it as uncharacterized. Lineage: Eukaryota; Metazoa; Chordata; Actinopteri; Syngnathiformes; Syngnathidae. The record is from RefSeq and is a predicted model, not a curated record. The transcript is spliced from 3 exons.
UUGCCAGCCAAUCGCAGGGCGCACAUAGACCGACAACCAUUUACACUCACAAUCAUACCUAAUGACAAUUUCGAGUGAUCAAUUUACCUACCCUGCAUAUUUUUAGAAAGUGGUAGGGAACCUGGGGAAAAUCCCCCCAGGCGCGGGGCGAACAUGUAAACUCCACAGAGGAAGGCCAGAGCCGCAAUCGAACCCUGCACCUUUACACUGUGAGGCGGACGUGGUAACCAGUCAAACAUCGUGUCACCACUCAGUGAAAUCACUUGAACAUAUUUCAAGGGGAGGACAUGGCACCCAGGCUGCACAGAUAACAAUGGGUAUGGUGGAUUUAUGGACUUAAUCCGAGUUUUCUCGACAAUAUUAGAGACAUAGGUCGAGAUGUAGACCAUGUCGGCUGAUCCCGCUGUUCGGUUGGCUGAAGGAAAGCAUUGGCACAGAGUAGUGGGCGCUGUGAAGGCCAAUAGGUCCUGGCAAGCUUCUUGGGCAUGACAUCCAGGCUGUCCCCCUGAGCAGCUCCUGGAUCUUUCACCUAGCAUCGUGCAGAAUGGCCUUGGCAAGCGCCAUUUGUUUGACUUCUGGCUGUCUUCCUGAUCAGCUCUGUCAAGUCCACAGAAUGGCCCCCAAGCGCCACCGUUGUUCCUGCCCCCCUCAACCAAUCCUGUACUGGGGACCCAAAAAAGAUGUCAAAUUGAAGCUGGAGGUAACCUCUAAG